UACAGAGGGUGCAAGCGUUGUUCGGAAUCAUUGGGCGUAAAGGGCGCGUAGGCGGCUUGACAAGUCAAAGGUGAAAUCCCGCGGCUCAACUGAGGAACUGCCUUUGAAACUGUCUGGCUUGAGGCCGGGAGGGGGUAGCGGAAUUCCCAGUGUAGCGGUGAAAUGCGUAGAUAUUGGGAGGAACACCAGUGGCGAAGGCGGCUACCUGGACCGGUUCUGACGCUGAUGCGCGAAAGCGUGGGUAGCAAACAGG
Molecule: ribosomal RNA, 253 nt
Filed under: uncultured bacterium
Lineage: Bacteria
Description: partial 16S ribosomal RNA
Rfam family: Bacterial small subunit ribosomal RNA
Source: RNAcentral